AUAAAGUUUUAUUCUUGCUUUGUUAUUUGCUAUUAUAAUGAUUUAUAUGUAAGGUUAUGUUUCCUAAAUGGAAUUGUACAGUAUUUAGUAUUGAUUAUUAAGGUGACUUAGAAUUAGUAAUUAUGUUAUUUUAUGGUUAAAUGCGUGCCAGCUGCCGCGGUUAGACGUGAAUUAUUAGCAAAUAUUUUUGGUUGAAGUUAUUAAUUUGAGUUAACUUUAGAAUGUUUAAUUUUUGAUGAAAUUUGAUUUUUGGGUAUUGGUUAUUAUGUAUUAUAUGAAACUUUGAAAUUUUUUAUUAAACUAGGAUUAGAUACCCUAUUAUAUUAAGUAUAUGGAUGAAGACUCGAGUAGUAUUAGUUAUGAUCUUGAAACUCAAAGAAUUUGGCGGUGUUUUAGUCCUUUUAGAGGAAUCUGUUCUGUAAUUGAUAAUACACGAUUUUUAUUACCUUUUUUAUGAGCUUAUAUACCGUCGUCAUAAGAUUAUUCUGUUUGAGGAAUAGUAAAUUUCUUGACUUUUUAUUAGAAAGUAUGUCAGAUCAAGGUGUAGUUUAUGAGAAGGAUUGAAAUGGAUUACAAUAAUUAUAAUUAUACGGAUAUAUUAUUAAUUGGUUAAUUGAAGGUGGAUUUAAUUGUAAAUUUAUUUUAAUUAAUAAAUUGAUUUAGGCUCUGGAAUGUGUACAUAUCGCCCGUCGCUCUCGUUAUAUAUGAGAUAAGUCGUAACAUAGUAGAUGUACUGGAAAGUGUAUCUAGAAAGUA
This 756-nucleotide non-coding RNA is filed under the name Meloimorpha japonica. Lineage: Eukaryota; Metazoa; Arthropoda; Insecta; Orthoptera; Phalangopsidae. The record is from RNAcentral.